UAGGGAAUCUUCCACAAUGGACGAAAGUCUGAUGGAGCAACGCCGCGUGAACGAUGAAGGCUUUCGGGUCGUAAAGUUCUGUUGUAAGGGAAGAACAAGUGCCGCAGGCAAUGGCGGCACCUUGACGGUACCUUGCGAGAAAGCCACGACUAACUACGUGCCAGCAGCCGCGGUAAUACGUAGGUGGCAAGCGUUGUCCGGAAUUAUUGGGCGUAAAGCGCGCGCAGGCGGCCUCUUAAGUCUGAUGUGAAAGCCCCCGGCUCAACCGGGGAGGGCCAUUGGAAACUGGGAGGCUUGAGUAUAGGAGAGAAGAGUGGAAUUCCACGUGUAGCGGUGAAAUGCGUAGAGAUGUGGAGGAACACCAGUGGCGAAGGCGACUCUUUGGCCUAUAACUGACGCUGAGGCGCGAAAGCGUGGGGAGCAAACAGGAUUAGAUACCCUGGUAGUCCACGCCGUAAACGAUGAGUGCUAGGUGUUGGAGGGUUUCCGCCCUUCAGUGCUGAAGCUAACGCAUUAAGCACUCCGCCUGGGGAGUACGGUCGCAAGGUUGAAACUCUAAAGUGAAUUGAC
RNAcentral lists this ribosomal RNA (570 nucleotides) under uncultured bacterium. RNAcentral's name for it is "partial 16S ribosomal RNA". It matches the Rfam family "Bacterial small subunit ribosomal RNA", at positions 355 to 914 of the family's 1533-position model. The record is from RNAcentral.